This 444-nucleotide ribosomal RNA is filed under the name uncultured bacterium. RNAcentral's name for it is "bacterial SSU rRNA". It matches the Rfam family "Bacterial small subunit ribosomal RNA", at positions 355 to 796 of the family's 1533-position model. The record is from RNAcentral.
UAAGGAAUAUUGGUCAAUGGGCGGAAGCCUGAACCAGCCAUGCCGCGUGCAGGAAGACGGCCCUACGGGUUGUAAACUGCUUUUGCAGGGGAAUAAACCCCCGGUUGCGACCGGGGCUGAAUGUACCUUGAGAAUAAGGAUCGGCUAACUCCGUGCCAGCAGCCGCGGUAAUACGGAGGAUCCGAGCGUUAUCCGGAUUUAUUGGGUUUAAAGGGUGCGUAGGCGGCCUUGUAAGUCAGGGGUGAAAGACGGCAGCUUAACUGUCGCAGUGCCUUUGAUACUGCAGGGCUUGAAUGCACUUGAAGUGGGCGGAAUGUGACAAGUAGCGGUGAAAUGCAUAGAUAUGUCACAGAACACCGAUUGCGAAGGCAGCUCACUAAAGUGUGAUUGACGCUGAGGCACGAAAGCGUGGGGAUCAAACAGGAUUAGAUACCCCGGUAGUCC